UGGGGAAUUUUGGACAAUGGGCGAAAGCCUGAUCCAGCAAUGCCGCGUGUGUGAAGAAGGCCUUCGGGUUGUAAAGCACUUUUGUCCGGAAAGAAAUCCUUGGCUCUAAUACAGUCGGGGGAUGACGGUACCGGAAGAAUAAGCACCGGCUAACUACGUGCCAGCAGCCGCGGUAAUACGUAGGGUGCAAGCGUUAAUCGGAAUUACUGGGCGUAAAGCGUGCGCAGGCGGUUUGCUAAGACCGAUGUGAAAUCCCCGGGCUCAACCUGGGAACUGCAUUGGUGACUGGCAGGCUAGAGUAUGGCAGAGGGGGGUAGAAUUCCACGUGUAGCAGUGAAAUGCGUAGAGAUGUGGAGGAAUACCGAUGGCGAAGGCAGCCCCCUGGGCCAAUACUGACGCUCAUGCACGAAAGCGUGGGGAGCAAACAGGAUUAGAUACCCUGGUAGUCCACGCCCUAAACGAUGUCAACUAGUUGUUGGGGAUUCAUUUCCUUAGUAACGUAGCUAACGCGUGAAGUUGACCGCCUGGG
This 529-nucleotide ribosomal RNA is filed under the name uncultured bacterium. RNAcentral describes it as "partial 16S ribosomal RNA". It matches the Rfam family "Bacterial small subunit ribosomal RNA", at positions 355 to 877 of the family's 1533-position model. The record is from RNAcentral.